This is a non-coding RNA of Kogia breviceps (pygmy sperm whale), 319 nucleotides long. The record is from RefSeq and is a predicted model, not a curated record. NCBI's taxonomy places the organism in Eukaryota, Metazoa, Chordata, Mammalia, Artiodactyla, Physeteridae.
UUGAGCAUGAGAUAAAAGGAAUAGAAAGAAUGAACUGGUUUACCAGCUGUUCAUUGCUUCACAGGGGAAGAAGGAAACAGUGAUUCAGAGGUGGAGGCAGGGGAAAAACAAAGCCCAGUGCCUCCAUAUUAAUUACAUUCAGCUCUGGGACCAUUCAGGAGGGAACUCACAAAACUAUGAAAAGGAUUGUAUCCAUGACAAGUAGAAGAAUGAGAGAGACGGCGUAGAGGUUGAAGCUUAAGUGAGACCUGAUAUUGCCUGGGCUCCAGCUGAUGUUUCAAAGCCGAGCCAAGCGAUUUACAGGACUGUUUUCCUGACU